GACGAGGGGUCCUAGCGUUUUUCGGAAUCACUGGGCGUAAAGCGUAUGUAGGCGGCUUUCUCAGUCGGUUGUGAAAUCCCAUGGCUUAACCAUGGAAUUGCAUUCGAAACUGGAGAGCUUGAGUGUGGGAGAGAUUGGUAGAAUACCUGGUGUAGUGGUGAAAUACGUAGAUAUCAGGUGGAAUACCGGUGGCGAAGGCGGCCAAUUGGCCCAACACUGACGCUGAGAUACGAAAGCGUGGGGAUCAAACAGG
This 253-nucleotide ribosomal RNA is filed under the name uncultured bacterium. RNAcentral describes it as "partial 16S ribosomal RNA". It matches the Rfam family "Bacterial small subunit ribosomal RNA", at positions 524 to 776 of the family's 1533-position model. The record is from RNAcentral.